AUGCCUUGGAUAAUCCUGAUCGCUUGGGGAUUUGCUGCCUGGAAGUAGGAAGCAGGUCUCUGAACACUCAGAUCCUGGUGAUGCAAAUUUUCCAGGACCCUGACAGCCUUGGAAUCACAGAUGGCCUGGCCUGGUGCAGCUUCCCUGACCGUCCUAGGCCCUUAAAUACCCCACUCAAGGGCCGCCCACGCAGGUUCCUGCAGCCUGGACAAUGGCCCUGGGGCAGCAGAGUCUGAGCAUUGCUGAGCUUCUCUGUCAGCAG
Mus musculus (house mouse) is the source of this 262-nucleotide long non-coding RNA. RefSeq annotates it as predicted gene, 53787. NCBI's taxonomy places the organism in Eukaryota, Metazoa, Chordata, Mammalia, Rodentia, Muridae. The transcript has 3 exons. The record is from RefSeq and is a predicted model, not a curated record.